GACGAACGCUGGCGGCGUGCUUAACACAUGCAAGUCGAACGGAAAGGCCUGCUUUCCCUUGUGGAUUGCGGGUACUCGAGUGGCGAACGGGUGAGUAACACGUGAGUGAUCUGCCCCCAACUUGGGUAUAAGCCUGGGAAACUGGGUCUAAUUCCCGAUAGGACUGCAGGGUGGUGCCUGUGGUGGAAAACGAUUUUCUAGUGGUUGGGGAUGAGCUCGCGGCCUAUCAGCUUGUUGGUGGGGUAAUGGCCUACCAAGGCGGCGACGGGUAGCCGGCCUGAGAGGGUGGACGGCCACAUUGGGACUGAGGUACGGCCCAGACUCCUACGGGAGGCAGCAGUGGGGAAUAUUGCACAUUGGGCGGAAGCCUGAUGCAGCGACGCCGCGUGGGGGAUGACGGCCUUCGGGUUGUAAACUCCUUUCGACCGCGAGGAAGCCACCUGGUUGGAAGGGUGGUGACGGUAGUGGUAGAAGAAGCACCGGCUAACUACGUG
Molecule: ribosomal RNA, 494 nt
Filed under: uncultured bacterium
Lineage: Bacteria
Description: partial 16S ribosomal RNA
Rfam family: Bacterial small subunit ribosomal RNA
Source: RNAcentral